Long non-coding RNA from Adelges cooleyi (spruce gall adelgid), 173 nucleotides. RefSeq lists it as uncharacterized. The transcript is spliced from 3 exons. NCBI's taxonomy places the organism in Eukaryota, Metazoa, Arthropoda, Insecta, Hemiptera, Adelgidae. The record is from RefSeq and is a predicted model, not a curated record.
AGUCGCCAUUAGUACAUUUAGUUUCUGAAGCUGAACAAGUCGAUUGUUGUCCAAGAACCUCUCCACAAUAAUUUAAAUCAAAAUGAAACUCUUCUAUUUAUUAAUAUCUUUUUUCUUCGUGGAUGUUUCGGCAAAUUAUUUUCUGACUUACUUGGAGUAUAUUAUCACUACAA